Molecule: ribosomal RNA, 405 nt
Filed under: uncultured bacterium
Lineage: Bacteria
Description: partial 16S ribosomal RNA
Rfam family: Bacterial small subunit ribosomal RNA
Source: RNAcentral
AUUGAACGCUGGCGGCAGGCUUAACACAUGCAAGUCGAGCGAGCGGCGGACGGGUGAGUAAUGUCUGGGAAACUGCCUGAUGGAGGGGGAUAACUACUGGAAACGGUAGCUAAUACCGCAUACCAUCAGAUGUGCCCAGAUGGGAUUAGCUAGUAGGUGGGGUAAUGGCUCACCUAGGCGACGAUCCCUAGCUGGUCUGAGAGGAUGACAGCCCUACCUGGAACUGAGACACGGUCCAGAUCCCUACGGGAGCCAGCAGGGGGAAAUAUUGCACAAGGGGCGCAAGCCGGAUGCAGCCAUGCCGCGUGUGGGAAGAAGGCCUUCGGGUUGUAAAUCACUUUCAGCGAGGAGGCGUUACUCGCAGAAGAAGCACCGGCUAACUCCGUGCCAGCAGCCGCGGUAUUC